UACCGGCUAGCUCAGUCGGUAGAGCAUGAGACUCUUAAUCUCAGAGUCGUGGGUUCGGGCCCCAUGUUGGGUGCCAA
Dromiciops gliroides (monito del monte) is the source of this 77-nucleotide non-coding RNA. NCBI's taxonomy places the organism in Eukaryota, Metazoa, Chordata, Mammalia, Microbiotheria, Microbiotheriidae. The record is from the annotation of a RefSeq genome assembly.